CUGCAGUGGGAAGAAAGAAAGAACCGGAAUCAGCAGAGAGACUGAGGAAAUGUAUUCUGGGCAAGACAAAGGCCCCCAAGAGAGGUGAUGGAGAGGAGAAGAGCAGAGCGAGCUCUUUGAGUGAAAUCCAACAGAGUGAAAAGGGGUAUUGUGUCCAAUAAGGCUGGAAAGGCAGGUUGGAGGCAGCUUGUGGAGGGCUUUCAAAGCUAACAGGGCUUUUAAAUUUGCUCCUCUCAGAGCCAGGAAGUCAGUGGAGUUUCCCAAGGAUUAGAAUCAUAUCAUCGAAUUGAUGUUUUAGGAAAAUCUCUUUGUCAGAAGCAUGAGGAUGGGCAUGAAGGAAAUGAGACACACUUGAGGAUCUCCGUCGAGUGUUGGUCUGGUUGAGAAAUGAAGGCAGAAUGCUACGGUGUGCUCAGGAGGCGAUGCAGCAAGGCCCCCAGUUGGGUACCUGCAGCUGAAUGUGGGGCCGGGUUCUCCCUGCGAUGCAAGGUUGGUGCCUUCUGGCUAAAAGCUGGGCAAGGAGACCAGUGAUCUAAAGCUGGGCAGCUUGACAGAGAAGCCUAGUGGCCCUCACCGAAUGGCGAAUGGCGGAGUUCACUUGUGGGUUUCUUAAGGGAAGAUUGUCGUUAAAUGCAGGUCAGCCUGAGCUCCCCUGAAUCGUGGGACUGGCCCCUCGUCUGAUGCCCGCCCUGUAUGAACUAAGGAAGAUCCUCUAGCACCCUUCCCAAGCUGAAGGAGGAGCCCAAAGGCGCCCGCGACUCCCUUCUGGGGAGAAUAACCUGGCGUCUCCCUCGCCACAGAUCAAAGGGUCUCUGCCCAUCAGCAGCCAGUCCGCCGGAAAUCCGGAAGAAACAAUGUCUCAGCGGCAGAGAUACUUUGUAUCCAAACAGGAAAGCGACAAAGAACAGCGGUCACUAUCACAGAAGCCGCUCGCUGCCUGCAGUCCCGGCUCUCGUCCUCUGAUCCCAAACCAAAACACGCGCUUGGCGCAUUUCGAUUGUUAUUGGAGGGAGCUCUCUCCUGAAAUUCUUCUCUGGGGCAGCGCGAUCAGGGUCCCAGAAGUACACCCGAGUGGCCCGGGUCAUCUUGUUUGUGAAUUUGGGUAAUUUCUGGCUUUUGCCGAGUUCCUUUUCAGUGUAAAUAUCCCUGAACUUCGCUCUUCAAGGAUCUACAGAAUUAAAGUGUAAUCAGAAUCGCGAUGGUUUCCGAGAAUUAAAAAAAUAGAGCCAAUCUCUUCUCUUUAGCGUGUGGAGGGGCCGGGCAAAGUGUUGGUGGGGCCAGAGGUGCAUUUCCCAGGCCCCUCUGUAGUAUUUCGAGGUUCCUGCACUUUUCCGAAAGGGCUCUGGUUAUGUGCAGUGACUCCUGGCUCCCUCUUCAGGGCUGCUCUCUCAUGGUCUAGUCUCCUGAGUCAUGUUCCUUCCCUUCACAUCUCCUCCCCCCUAAUUUUUUUUUCAGUUUUUCCAAUGAAAUAAGCAGAAAAUUUGUAGGGAAAUAGGGAACCAUUGUUGGGCAAGGUUGUCUAUGCAUAUGUGUGCAAAUAUAUAUAUAUGUGUGUGUGUGUGUGUGUGUGUGUGUUCCCUCCUCCCUCCCUGAAUUAUCUUCUAACCAUUUUUCUCUGGCAGGUCCUGGGGCUGCCUCCUGGUGGGUUACCUUGGCAACCCCAGGUGCCUGUCAAGCUUUAGAAUAUCCCCAGACUGCAGCAAGGAUCCCACCAUUUGCAUACACCCCAGUGAUCUGGCACUGGGUUAAAAAAAAAUAGUAGACCCUGCCAUCCUCACUCAGGGAGUGAGCUUACUUUGGGAGGGAGCCACAGACCCAGGGGUAGCUGGAAUGCGACCUCAGGAUGUGCCUGCCCCUCCUUCUUCCCUCUCUCUGGAUGCAGGAGACACGGCCUCCCAGUCUAACAAAGCCAUGGAGCCUAGUCUGCCACAUUUGACAGGCGUCCACCGACUCCUCAUGGAGAAACCCAGAGCUUCCCCACCACGAGCAGGCUGCUGACAGCCCUGCCCAGCUACUCUCGGAUGGACUUUUGACAUGUCAUCAAUGCUGGGUGACAAGCAUGACUCCAAAUUAAUCAAUUAAUUAAGUCUGCUUGCCCAAAUCACACCAACUUUGAUCAAAUUUACCCAGAAAAAUUUUCCUGUGGCUUCUGAAGGGAGAUUUUAUCAAGUCUUAAAAACAAAUAAAGAAUGAACUUGUUUUUUUUAAUCUCA
Molecule: long non-coding RNA, 2213 nt
Organism: Sarcophilus harrisii (Tasmanian devil)
Lineage: Eukaryota; Metazoa; Chordata; Mammalia; Dasyuromorphia; Dasyuridae
Exons: 3
Source: RefSeq, a predicted model, not a curated record